Molecule: ribosomal RNA, 442 nt
Filed under: uncultured bacterium
Lineage: Bacteria
Description: partial 16S ribosomal RNA
Rfam family: Bacterial small subunit ribosomal RNA
Source: RNAcentral
CCUACGGGAGGCAGCAGUGGGGAAUAUUGGGCAAUGGACGCACGUCUGACCCAGCAACGCCGCGUGAAGGAAGAAGGCUUUCGGGUUGUAAACUUUCUUUUAGGGGGAAGAGAAGCAGACGGUAUCCCUUGAAUCAGCCACGGCUAACUACGUGCCAGCAGCCGCGGUAAUACGUAGGUGGCAAGCGUUGUCCGGAUUUACUGGGUGUAAAGGGCGUGCAGCCGGAGAGACAAGUCAGAUGUGAAAUCCACGGGCUCAACCCGUGAACUGCAUUUGAAACUGUUUCCCUUGAGUGUCGGAGAGGUAAUCGGAAUUCCUAGUGUAGCGGUGAAAUGCGUAGAUAUUAGGAAGAACACCAGUUGCGAAGGCAGAUUACUGGACGAUAACUGACGGUGAGGCGCGAAAGCGUGGGGAGCAAACAGGAUUAGAUACCCUAGUAGUC